Molecule: ribosomal RNA, 440 nt
Filed under: uncultured bacterium
Lineage: Bacteria
Description: partial 16S ribosomal RNA
Rfam family: Bacterial small subunit ribosomal RNA
Source: RNAcentral
CCUACGGGAGGCAGCAGUGGGGAAUAUUGCACAAUGGGGGAAACCCUGAUGCAGCCACGCCGCGUGAGUGAAGAAGUAUUUCGGUAUGUAAAGUUCUAUCAGCAGGGAAGAAAAUGACGGUCCCUGAUUAAGAAGCCCCGGCUAACUACGUGCCAGCAGCCGCGGUACUACGUCGGCGGCAAGCGUUAUCCGGAUUUACUGGGUGUAAAGGGAGCGUAGACGGCAGCACAAGUCUGGAGUGAAAUGCCGGGGCUUAACCCCGGAACUGCUUUGGAAACUGUCAAGCUAGAGUGCAGGAGAGGUAAGUGGAAUUCCUAGUGUAGCGGUGAAAUGCGUAGAUAUUAGGAGGAACACCAGUGGCGAAGGCGGCUUACUGGACUGUAACUGACGUUGAGGCUCGAAAGCGUGGGGAGCAAACAGGAUUAGAUACCCGAGUAGUC